Non-coding RNA from Plenodomus lindquistii, 121 nucleotides. The record is from the annotation of a GenBank genome assembly. NCBI's taxonomy places the organism in Eukaryota, Fungi, Ascomycota, Dothideomycetes, Pleosporales, Leptosphaeriaceae.
GUCAGCGUGGCCGAGUGGUUAUGGCGUGUGACUCAAGCGAAAGCUUGUCUUCCUCGGAAGACGCACUCUCAAGAGGUUUCUCAUAGGGCAACCUGCGUGGGUUCGAAUCCCACCGCUGACA